GUCGAACGGACGAUGAAGAGCUUGCUCUUCAGAGUUAGUGGCGGACGGGUGCGUAACGCGUGGGUAACCUGCCUCAUACAGGGGGAUAGCAGCUGGAAACGGCUGAUAAAACCGCAUAAGCACACAGCAUCGCACGAUGCAGUGUGAAAAACUCCGGUGGUAUGAGAUGGACCCGCGUCUGAUUAGCUGGUUGGUGAGGUAACGGCCCACCAAGGCGACGAUCAGUAGCCGGCCUGAGAGGGUGACCGGCCACAUUGGGACUGAGACACGGCCCAAACUCCUACGGGAGGCAGCAGUGGGGAAUAUUGCACAAUGGGGGAAACCCUGAUGCAGCGACGCCGCGUGAAGGAAGAAGUAUCUCGGUAUGUAAACUUCUAUCAGCAGGGAAGAUAAUGACGGUACCUGACUAAGAAGCCCCGGCUAACUACGUGUCAGCAGCCGCGGUAAUACGUAGGGGGCAAGCGUUAUCCGGAUUUACUGGGUGUAAAGGGAGCGUAGGCGGGAUCGCAAGUCAGAUGUGAAAACUAUGGGCUUAACCCAUAAACUGCAUUUGAAACUGUGGUUCUUGAGUGAAGUAGAGGUAAGCGGAAUUCCUAGUGUAGCGGUGAAAUGCGUAGAUAUUAGGAAGAACACCAGUGGCGAAGGCGGCUUACUGGACAGUAACUGACGUUGAGGCUCGAAAGCGUGNGGAGCAAACAGGAUUAGAUACCCUGGNAGUCCACGCCGU
Molecule: ribosomal RNA, 727 nt
Filed under: uncultured bacterium
Lineage: Bacteria
Description: bacterial SSU rRNA
Rfam family: Bacterial small subunit ribosomal RNA
Source: RNAcentral